RNAcentral lists this ribosomal RNA (497 nucleotides) under uncultured bacterium. RNAcentral describes it as "partial 16S ribosomal RNA". It matches the Rfam family "Bacterial small subunit ribosomal RNA", at positions 28 to 507 of the family's 1533-position model. The record is from RNAcentral.
GAUGAACGCUGGCGGCGUGCCUAAUACAUGCAAGUCGAGCGAACAGACGAGGAGCUUGCUCCUCUGACGUUAGCGGCGGGCGGGUGAGUAACACGUGGAUAACCGACCUAUAAGACUGGGAUAACUUCGGGAAACCGGAUCUAACACCGGAUAAGAUAUUGAACGGCAUGGUUCAAUGGAGAAAGACGGUUUUGAUGACCCUAGUAGAUGGAUCCGCGCCGCAUUAGCUAGUUGGUAAGGAAACGGCUUACCAAGGCAACGAUGCGUGGCCGACCUGAGAGGGUGAUCGGCCACACUGGAACUGAGACCCGGUCCCGACUCCUACGGGAGGCAGCAGUAGGGAAUCUUCCGCAAUGGGCGAAAGCCUGACGGAGCAACGCCGCGUGAGUGAUGAAGGUCUUCGGAUCGUAAAACUCUGUUAUUAGGGAAGAACAAAUGUGUAAGUAACUAUGCACGUCUUGACGGUACCUAAUCAGAAAGCCACGGCUAACUACGUG